UAUUCGAGCCAAUAAGUUCGG
Molecule: non-coding RNA, 21 nt
Organism: Drosophila melanogaster (fruit fly)
Lineage: Eukaryota; Metazoa; Arthropoda; Insecta; Diptera; Drosophilidae
Source: Ensembl